RNAcentral lists this ribosomal RNA (407 nucleotides) under uncultured bacterium. RNAcentral describes it as "bacterial SSU rRNA". It matches the Rfam family "Bacterial small subunit ribosomal RNA", at positions 29 to 423 of the family's 1533-position model. The record is from RNAcentral.
AAUCAACGCUGGCGGCGUGCCUAACACAUGCAAGUCGAACGCGAAAGUCCCGCAAGGGAUUAGUAGAGUGGCAAACGGGUGAGUAACACGUGGGUGACCUGCCUUCGAGCGGGGGAUAACGUCCCGAAGGGACGCUAAUACCGCAUAACAUCCUGCCUUUAAGAGGCGGUGAUCAAAGCCGGGGAUUCGCAAGAACCUGGCACUUGAAGAGGGGCCCGCGCCUGAUUAGCUAGUUGGUGGGGUAANGGCCUACCAAGGCAACGAUCAGUAUCCGGCCUGAGAGGGCGGACGGACACACUGGGACUGAGACACGGCCCAGACUCCUACGGGAGGGCAGCAGUGGGGAAUUGUUCGCAAUGGGCGCAAGCCUGACGACGCAACGCCGCGUGGAGGAUGAAGACCUCGGU